Long non-coding RNA from Mauremys mutica (yellowpond turtle), 1231 nucleotides. RefSeq lists it as uncharacterized. The transcript is spliced from 3 exons. The record is from RefSeq and is a predicted model, not a curated record. Lineage: Eukaryota; Metazoa; Chordata; Testudines; Geoemydidae.
GGGAGAAGAGCCUGGCUGCUAGGGAGUGUACCUGGGCUCUCCCUAAUUUUUUUCUUCCAGAUACAGAUCUCACCCUGGUUAUCAUUGUUUUAGUGAGACACAAGGAACUCAGUCUAAGGCAUGUUUUCUGUGUGCGCAGUCUAAGGCCAACUGAGGACACAGAAGGGCUUCCUGCUGAAUCAAGCCGAAACGCCAGUCACAGAGGGAGGGUUGUGUCCGACUGAUUGCUUCAGCUCUGAUGCAGUGGACGACCCGGACAUUCUACUGUGCCUGGUGAUGUAUACAGGAGGAACACAGAUCAAAUCGGUAGUGGUGAGUUGAUGUGUUGCCCCUUAGAGACUGCUCACAAUGACCGAUGCAGACACGGGCUGCCACCAUGAUGGACAGUAUCCUAUAGCCUAUGAGAGGAGCUUAUAUACUCUCUUGUCUCCGAGCAGAAUUGCCGGAUCACGUAACCAAUCUUUUCCCACCUUACAGAAAAAGGGCGCCAAAAGUCCAACAAGAAGGGAGACCAACAUAGCUCCCAAACAACUAUACAGAAUUCAAAAUGGUGAUUGUGAACAAUUUUUUAAAAUACCAUAACACAAUAUACAGUUAGAAUACAUAACACAACAGUUUUGCCAUACAGGGAUCUUGCUGGUUGUAAUAAAUGCUGGUGGAAGCCAGAAUGGCGUUAUAAGGUUGUUCUGAACAGGGAGGGUGAUAGUGUUCUUAACACUCAGGGUAGGACAAGAAGUAAUGGGCUUAAAUUACAGCAAGGGAAGACUUAGGUUAGACAUUAGGAAAAACUUCCUAACAUAAGGGUAAGGUAGGGUUGUUAAGCACUGGAAAAAACUACCUAAGGAAGUUGGGGAAUCUCCAUCACCAAAGAUUUUUUUAGAACAGGUUAGACAAACCAGGGAUGAUUUAGAUAAUACUUAGUCCUGCCCCAGUGCAGGGGAUGGUCUAGAUGACCUAUCAAGGUCCCUUCCAAUCCUACAUUUCUGAUUUUUGUGACUGAGAAAACAAAGCUUACAAAGUGGCAUAAUUGAGUUGUGAGCUCUGCAGAUUGAUUUGCAAUUCUUGGUAGAAAUAGUCUUACUAAAUACUUGGGCAACAAUUAUAUUUAAGCUAGGGAAACCAGAUUGCCAUUUAGCAGGAAGAGACAUCCAACUGAUAGCAACGUUAAAAUAAACUUAUUUCCUUGUGUGGCACAAAGCAGGGCCAGCUAAAAUUUUUUGAGUAGGUGGGU